Molecule: long non-coding RNA, 384 nt
Organism: Monodelphis domestica (gray short-tailed opossum)
Lineage: Eukaryota; Metazoa; Chordata; Mammalia; Didelphimorphia; Didelphidae
Source: RefSeq, a predicted model, not a curated record
UUACACCCUGGGUAAGGCUGGGGCUUCUCAUUUCAGAUUUUCUUCAAAGAAGGGCUCACUUGUCCUUACCUGUUCCUCUAUCUAACUGUCUGAAAGCAUCUGAAAGAAACACCCCCCCACACACACACACUUGCACCGAAAGGGCUGUAAUGAAUGCGUCAUUGUUCUCAGUUGAAGGUAAUCCUGGUACACAGCAGAGCGUGGUGCAAUGUAUCACUUUCAACUUUCUCACUUUGAUUCCUUGGUGGGAUGUGAAUGAGAUGGGAAAGAGACGAGAGUUUUUGCUGAUUGGGAAAAAAAAAAGGAAUUUAAGGGAAUUUUUAAUCAGGAGCUCCAUUGUGCCAAGCACUUUAUUCAAUACGGUGCCUAAUAUUUCUGAUAUGG